GUGCUCACUUCAGCAGCAAGUAUACUAAAAUUGGAAUGACACAGAGAAGAUGAGCAGGGCCCCUACACCGAAUAGGAUGGGAAAUGGAGACUUUCCUA
RNAcentral lists this small nuclear RNA (98 nucleotides) under Vulpes vulpes (red fox). Lineage: Eukaryota; Metazoa; Chordata; Mammalia; Carnivora; Canidae. The record is from RNAcentral.